RNAcentral lists this microRNA precursor (58 nucleotides) under Ornithorhynchus anatinus (platypus). RNAcentral describes it as "Oan-Mir-17-P1c_pre stem-loop". It matches the Rfam family "mir-17 microRNA precursor family", at positions 12 to 69 of the family's 80-position model. From Rfam's summary of the family: This family represents the microRNA (miRNA) precursor mir-17, family, which includes mir-20, mir-91, and mir-103. miRNAs are transcribed as ~70nt precursors (modelled here) and subsequently processed by the Dicer enzyme to give a ~22nt product. In this case the mature sequence comes from the 3' arm of the precursor. The extents of the hairpin precursors are not generally known and are estimated based on hairpin prediction. Lineage: Eukaryota; Metazoa; Chordata; Mammalia; Monotremata; Ornithorhynchidae. The record is from RNAcentral.
AAAAGUGCUUACAGUGCAGGUAGCUUUUAGUACCUACUGCAAUGUAAGCACUUCUAGC